AUGUUGCCAUGCUCUCUCAGGAUCUGCUUUGCAAUAGGGUCUUCUCACUUUCUUACAUUGUUUGGUAGUGUACUUUUAUACCUUGCUUUGUGUUUAUCUAUAAAGCAAGGUAGGAUCCUGCUUCGACAGAACACAUUCCUAUCAACAAUCUGGAAAUGUGAAAUGAAAGUCCUAUGUUUGGGUUGUAGACUCGUAAUGAAGGGAAGUAAAGAAGUUUUGGACCACCUGCAGAGAUUCCUAUGUGUAGGCCUAGGGCCAGAUCUAGGGGGGCGAUAUAGCCCUGGUCCGGCCCAUACACUAGUAGUCCCAAAACCUUCGACCUAG
RNAcentral lists this ribosomal RNA (324 nucleotides) under Triticum aestivum (bread wheat). RNAcentral describes it as "partial small subunit ribosomal RNA". The record is from RNAcentral. Lineage: Eukaryota; Viridiplantae; Streptophyta; Magnoliopsida; Poales; Poaceae.